Molecule: long non-coding RNA, 1135 nt
Organism: Talpa occidentalis (Iberian mole)
Lineage: Eukaryota; Metazoa; Chordata; Mammalia; Eulipotyphla; Talpidae
Exons: 4
Source: RefSeq, a predicted model, not a curated record
CUCGCCGGCCCCCAUCCCAUUCAGGCUCCGGAAUCCCGGACCCAGAUCCAGACUCCCAGCCCCCCAAGAUCCCAGGAUGUGGGACUCCGUCCGCCUGCCCCUGCUCCCCCAGCCAACGCCCCCACUCCAGGCUCCGGAAUGCGACCCAGGCUGGGAGCCAGCAGAAACCGGAGAAGCCCACAUGGCGCAGCAGACCUCUCCUGUCUCCCUGCUGCUCCCCUCAGCAGUGUAUUGCAGUAGAUCCACCUGUUCUGCUCCCCACUCUGUCUCUGGUGAAUCCUCUCACCUCUCCACACCUCUUCCCAACCUCCCAGCUCUGUCCCCUUGUGUAUUGCCAGCUGUCUUUUAUGUUGGAUAUUUCGACCAGUAUGAGAGCCUGAAAACAGCCCAGGACACAUGGUCACUUUUAGAAGAUCAAAGGGACUCUGGACUAUCUGGGGUCUAAGGGGGAGGACCCCAGCUUCUGAUAAGUUCUUGGAGGAAGCUGUUUGAGCCAAGUAUCCCAAGGGGGGCACAAAGGGAGGAGAGGUUCUCCAGGCAGAAAUAACACCUGGUGAGUUACAAGGCGAAAGGAAACAAGGGAUUCUCAACUGGGGGCGAUCCUCCCUCCCACCCCCCAGGUAAAUUAUAGCCAUAUCGGAAGACAUUUUCCAUUGUCUGGAUUGGAGGCAGGUGCUGAUGCUACUGGCAUCAAGCGUGCGGAUGUGGGAUUGAGGGGGGUGGGGGAGAGCCAUGCCCUGCCUACUGCUUAACACCCUGUGACCAGAUCCCCUAGACUAAAAAUUCGGAAUAAGUGAAAUUAAACUCUAAGCCUUGUACCCUCUCUUCCCUACACCGUCCUCCUGAUGAACUAUUAACUGGUACGAACUGCAUUCGAGGGGCAUCAUCGGAAACAAACAUCUACUGAUUGCUGAGAAAACACCCUACUGGGAAAGUUAACCCCCCCCUCCUGCUGUCUAGACCGCCUGCACCUCCUCCUCGGACCUGGAAAUGAGAAGCCCCACACUUCCCUCACAUUCCUUCUCCCCUUGCAUUGUGUAAUCACUGAGCUCCUGCCAUUCCAGGAGCUAGAUUUUUGGGGGGUGCCUAUCCUGCUGACUCCCUUGAUGGCCAUUUCCAAUAAACUCUUUUGUGU